Molecule: long non-coding RNA, 545 nt
Filed under: Rhinolophus ferrumequinum (greater horseshoe bat)
Lineage: Eukaryota; Metazoa; Chordata; Mammalia; Chiroptera; Rhinolophidae
Description: lncRNA (ENSRFEG00010013897.1)
Source: RNAcentral
GUUUCCUGUGUGCCCACUGUGUGCCAGGCGCUGAGGACGGCCCUGGAGAGAGAAAGUGUACAGGCCCUCAUGUGCCAAGGAGGUCUGUCUGGCCAACUCCCUUCCGUAAGUGUCACCUCCCCUGGGAAGCCACCUUCUCCUCACUCAGCUGGCCUCUCUGCUCCAUUACAGCUGUCCUCUAGUCUCUUGUCCUCGUCUCCUUUCAGAUGGUCUCCCCACAAGCUGAGCGCCCCUCCAGGGCAGGGCUGCACCUAAUUCUUCCCUCUGCCGAACGUGUUCCCUGAGGGGCCAAGAGAGUGAACUAACCAAUGAACGAAUGAGCCCCAGGGCUCCGAGAGCCCAAGGCCCACCUCACUCUGUCUUUUACCAUCUUUUGCAGAUGGAUUUGCAGGCGCGGGAAGCAUGUGGAAGGCCGUGUUCGUGUUGCAGAGAAGGUUGGCUGCUGAGCCAGGGCGUGUCUGCAGGAGGCCUGCCAGGCUGCCCGGAUCCCCACCUCACCACCAUGGGCCACCCAGGCUGACCCGCCGGUUCCUGCUGGAGGCUCC